GCGCGUGUAGCUCAGAGGAUAGAGCACCAGCCUCCGGAGCUGGGUGUCGCAGGUUCGACUCCUGCCACGCGCACCA
This 76-nucleotide transfer RNA is filed under the name Nitrospinota bacterium. RNAcentral's name for it is "tRNA-Arg". It matches the Rfam family "tRNA". From Rfam's summary of the family: Transfer RNA (tRNA) molecules are approximately 80 nucleotides in length. The record is from RNAcentral. Lineage: Bacteria; Pseudomonadati; Nitrospinota. RNAcentral also lists the same sequence under 1 other name.